AUUACUUUGGCAGAUUAGUGUAUUAAAUUUAGAAUUUAAAAUAAAUAUAUUUUUAAGAAGAA
RNAcentral lists this transfer RNA (62 nucleotides) under Colobopsis nipponica. RNAcentral describes it as "tRNA-Leu". Lineage: Eukaryota; Metazoa; Arthropoda; Insecta; Hymenoptera; Formicidae. The record is from RNAcentral.